UCUCAACGCUUUUUAAAUUAUAGCCGAACGGUAUUUAAUUUUAUGACGCGAACUGUUCGGUGCAUCUUCUUCACCUGAACGAUUUUUUGUGUUGUUCACGUUGUUUGGAUUGUUCGGACUUUAGGAGAGGAAACUGGAAAACGGCAACGGAUUUGGUAUCUGAUUCGCUGAAAUAAAAACGAAUCCUCUUCAUCGCGGCAGCAGUAAACAUUUUAUUGAGUUUUCGCAGCGCAAAAAGUGCAACGCUUUCCCAGGUGGAAGAUGCAGCUGUGAAGGCUAUCUCAUAACAGUGCUCCAGCAUCGGGGAACAUUUUCAUAGAUCACAGCGCUGAGAUGACCCAUAAAAAUUGGAAAAUCCUGAGCCAACAAUCAUUAGUUGCCAUCAUUAGGCCUCGGUACAUCCUGGUAAACCGACCGCUCUAUAAUCAAUAUUUCGGACGCUUGGUCAUUAUUCGGAUGCUUUCUCAAACUGGACUAAAUAAUUCGAAGUUUUACAUGCAAGCAGCUCUAACACCACCCCUUCGACCUCUGUCUGCUGACAGUUCGGUGCUUCGGUGAUGAGGUCCAGUGAUUUGACUCCUGCCAAUUAUUUCAUUAGCUUCCCCACUCAACGACGACCACAGAGAGAAAGAACGGGCAUCAAUCGGUUCUCUUGAGAAUGCGAAGGACAAAUUCACAUUUAUACCUGUCGUCG
Toxorhynchites rutilus septentrionalis is the source of this 694-nucleotide long non-coding RNA. RefSeq lists it as uncharacterized. Lineage: Eukaryota; Metazoa; Arthropoda; Insecta; Diptera; Culicidae. The transcript has 3 exons. The record is from RefSeq and is a predicted model, not a curated record.